UGACUUUAUGAUUUGCUUGAUUGGAUCAUAUCAGGUUUUAUUUAAAUGGAUCUGUCAUUUUGAUCUGAUCUGACUUGAUUUGACUUGUUUUGUUGACUAUAUUUGAAUUGACCUAAUUUGAUUUGAUCCAUUUUUACUUGAUCCAUUUAACUUAACUUCGUAAUUUUAUCUGAUUCAAAUUGUUUUCACUUUGUUGUAAGUUAUUUAAUCCAGUUGGACUUAAUUUCAAUUAAUUUGAUAGUAUGGAUCUAAUCAAAUGUGACGUGACUUGUUUGACGUGAACGCUGUCCUCGUCGGUGUGGCUCUGGUCAGGGAGCCUGUCAGAGGUUUGGGUGGAUCUGGAGGGAUAGCAUGAUAGUUACUCCCUCACAGUGAAGCUCAUCUCUGUCAGAAGUUAAAAAGAAUGCAGACAGCAUGUGGUGGUAGUUCAUGUCUCUAUGCGACCACCAGACAGUGGAGUCAACAGUGACACAGACCAGAGUUCAGGGAGUUAAAACUGAGAGGAAAAUGUAGAUAAUAAAUGAGACAAAGAUUCUGACAAAAAGGUGAGUUUCAUAGAUGCUGAUUCUAUAUUUCUCAUGCUGCUGGUCUGCUGAUUGAUGUUUUAAGAUGCUGUGAGCUGCCAAAUUUGCCCCCUAAGAAAUAAUAUUGUGCCCUUAAGAAAAAUCUAGACUAGUUUCUGCCGCGUUGUUGUUUUUCUUUCAGCGCUGAUGUUGGAUGAAUUCAGGACCCAAAAGGAGCAAAAGAGAUGAGACACAGCAAGGAUGCAUUGCCAUCCCCUAAACCCCAAGCAAUUUGAAUAAGAAACAUAGACUAGAAAAAAAAAAUCUAAAAAAAGAGUUGAGUGACAGCCCAGGAUGAGAGAAGAAAUGAUGGAAACAGAUCCAAGACCAGCACAUGACAUGUCUGACAGCUCAACUAAUGCAAGAGCUCUAUCCAAAAAGAAGGAUCAGAUCAGGACAAGGAACCACAUGAGAGGCAGCAGCAGGAUGUGAAUCCACAUUAUGAGAAAUGAAGAAAAACGUAUUAUAGUGGUGUGAAAGCAUUAGAAGGAUUGGAGGUCACCACUGUGAGGUGACGGCACUAACCAGAGCAUCUAAGAUUUUCUUUUUACUUAUAAAAUCUAAGAAAACAAAGAAACAGUGAGAGGAACUCCAGUAUGACCUAAGAUUGAAGAAUCACCCCCGAGAUGAGACGACGAACCGCUCUGAGAUGAGAUGAUGAACAGCCCCAAACAGAACAAGAAUAGGUGAAGUUCUGGCAGCCGGAGCUGUUGGUAUUUUACAAUAAAGACCUCAUUUGUGGAGGCUGUAAAAUGUAAAUCUUUAACUUUAUUUGUAAUUAUAGAGCCUUUAUUUUUUGAAGUGUAGGUAACACCUGUGUGACAAUUAUUGUAAUUAUAAAUAUGUGAAGUACACAAAAGACAUUAUUGAGUUUUCUUUAUUUUCUGGUUAUGGCUGUACUGUUUCCAUACAGGUGCAUUACUGUAUGUUGCAGUGUUCUUGUUAUCAUUAUUUGUGCAUUAAUGCUACAUAUUGUAAUAUAAAUGCUCUACUGUAUAACACAUAAGCACAUAGGAGGACUGAUCCAAACCAUCAAGGCUCUAUGAUGGAUUCUUGUACUUUGUUUUACAAAACCUCCAAUUUGUGCAAUUAACACCGGAAUUCAGAGAGAUUGUGCAUUCAAUCCUUAAAUCUACAAUUAGAAAUGAGUGACUGCAUCUGAGAAAUGUUAUCUAGAAGCACCCAACACUGUUCUGUCAUGUGUUUAGCUGCAUCUUCAGUCUCUGCACAUCUGUCUGCUGAUCAUGUUUAGUUAAUACAGUGCAGCAGCGCCCUCUGGAGAUCAGCAGCUGUAGUACAGAAACAUCUGGCCUCAGUAAGCAUGCCAGGCUGGAAGAAACUUAAGUCAAGGCCUGGUUUGGAAAUGGG
Molecule: long non-coding RNA, 1931 nt
Organism: Amphiprion ocellaris (clown anemonefish)
Lineage: Eukaryota; Metazoa; Chordata; Actinopteri; Pomacentridae
Source: Ensembl